Molecule: ribosomal RNA, 266 nt
Filed under: uncultured Eubacteriales bacterium
Lineage: Bacteria; Bacillati; Bacillota; Clostridia; Eubacteriales
Description: uncultured Clostridiales bacterium partial 16S ribosomal RNA
Rfam family: Bacterial small subunit ribosomal RNA
Source: RNAcentral
CUUGCUACUGUUUGUUUCUAGCGGCGGACGGGUGAGUAACGCGUGAGCAACCUGCCUUUAUCAGGGGGAUAACGCAUCGAAAGAUGUGCCAAUACCGCGUAAGACCACAGCUUCACAUGGAGCGGGGGUCAAAGGAGCGAUCCGGAUAAAGAUGGGCUCGCGUCCGAUUAGCUAGUUGGUGAGAUAACAGCCCACCAAGGCGACGAUCGGUAGCCGACCUGAGAGGGUGAUCGGCCACAUUGGAACUGAGAGACGGUCCAGACUCC